GACGAACGCGGGCGGCGUGCUUAAUACAUGCAAGUCGAACGCACGAAGUUGAAGAGCUUGUCUUUAACCAAGUGAGUGGCGGACGGGUGAGUAACACGUGGGUAACCUACCCAUUAGAGGGGGAUAACAUUCGGAAACGGAUGCUAAUACCGCAUAGUUUCAGGAAUCGCAUGAUUCGUGAAGGAAAGGUGGCUUCGGCUACCACUAAUGGAUGGACCCGCGGCGUAUUAGCUAGUUGGUGAGGUAAUGGCUCACCAAGGCAAUGAUACGUAGCCGACCUGAGAGGGUGAUCGGCCACACUGGGACUGAGACACGGCCCAGACUCCUACGGGAGGCAGCAGUAGGGAAUCUUCCGCAAUGGACGAAAGUCUGACGGAGCAACGCCGCGUGAGUGAAGAAGGUUUUCGGAUCGUAAAACUCUGUUGUUAAAGAAGAACAAGGAUGAGAGUAACUGCUCAUCCCCUGACGGUAUUUAACCAGAAAGCCACGGCUAACUACGUGCCAGCAGCCGCGGUAAUACGUAGGUGGCAAGCGUUGUCCGGAUUUAUUGGGCGUAAAGCGAGCGCAGGCGGUUCUUUAAGUCUGAUGUGAAAGCCCCCGGCUCAACCGGGGAGGGUCAUUGGAAACUGGAGAACUUGAGUGCAGAAGAGGAGAGUGGAAUUCCACGUGUAGCGGUGAAAUGCGUAGAUAUGUGGAGGAACACCAGUGGCGAAGGCGACUCUCUGGUCUGUAACUGACGCUGAGGCUCGAAAGCGUGGGGAGCAAACAGG
This 770-nucleotide ribosomal RNA is filed under the name uncultured Vagococcus sp. Its description in RNAcentral is "bacterial SSU rRNA". It matches the Rfam family "Bacterial small subunit ribosomal RNA", at positions 28 to 776 of the family's 1533-position model. Lineage: Bacteria; Bacillati; Bacillota; Bacilli; Lactobacillales; Enterococcaceae. The record is from RNAcentral.